RNAcentral lists this ribosomal RNA (253 nucleotides) under uncultured bacterium. RNAcentral describes it as "partial 16S ribosomal RNA". It matches the Rfam family "Bacterial small subunit ribosomal RNA", at positions 524 to 776 of the family's 1533-position model. The record is from RNAcentral.
UACGGAGGGCGCAAGCGUUGUUCGGACUCACGGGGCGUAAAGCGCGUGUCGGCGGCUUGGCAAGUCGGGUGUGAAAUCCCGAGGCUCAACCUCGGAACUGCACUCGAAACUGCCUGGCUCGAGUCCCGGAGAGGGUGGCGGAAUUCCCGGUGUAGGGGUGAAAUCCGUAGAUAUCGGGAGGAACACCAGUGGCGAAGGCGGCCACCUGGACGGUGACUGACGCUGAGACGCGAAAGCGUGGGGAGCAAACAGG